This 22-nucleotide microRNA is filed under the name Dasypus novemcinctus (nine-banded armadillo). Its description in RNAcentral is "dno-miR-2483-5p". Lineage: Eukaryota; Metazoa; Chordata; Mammalia; Cingulata; Dasypodidae. The record is from miRBase by way of RNAcentral.
CAUCAAUCAUUCAGCUGUUUGG